This is an unclassified non-coding RNA of Macaca fascicularis (crab-eating macaque), 117 nucleotides long. It matches the Rfam family "Metazoan signal recognition particle RNA". From Rfam's summary of the family: The signal recognition particle (SRP) is a universally conserved ribonucleoprotein. It is involved in the co-translational targeting of proteins to membranes. The record is from Ensembl. NCBI's taxonomy places the organism in Eukaryota, Metazoa, Chordata, Mammalia, Primates, Cercopithecidae.
GCCGGGCAUGGUGACUCAUGCCUGUAAUCCCAUCACUUUGGGAGGCCGAGGCAGGUGAAUUGCUUGAGUCCAGGAGUUCCAGACCAGCCUGGGCAACAUGGCAAAACCCUGUCUCUA